GACCACAAGAACGCGUGGAGCAUGUGGCUUAAUUUGACUCAACGCGGGAAAUCUUACCGGGUCCGGACACACUGAGGAUUGACAGGCAAUAUCUCAUGGUUAUUAACCGGUUAUUUAUUUAAUCGGUUAUUAAGCAUCAGUGUUAAAUAUGCUAGUCCUUUCAUGAUUAUGUGAUAGGUGGUGCAUGGCCGUUCUUAGUUCGUGGAGUGAUCUGUCUGCUUAAUUGCGUUUCACUAAGGGCCCAUAAAUUCAAGGUAUGUUAGCUAUCGUCGCUCUAUGGACCCCUUA
RNAcentral lists this ribosomal RNA (288 nucleotides) under Neogloboquadrina pachyderma. RNAcentral's name for it is "partial 18S ribosomal RNA". It matches the Rfam family "Eukaryotic small subunit ribosomal RNA", at positions 1165 to 1394 of the family's 1831-position model. Lineage: Eukaryota; Foraminifera; Rotaliida; Globorotaliidae. The record is from RNAcentral.